UACGUAGGGUGCAAGCGUUGUCCGGAAUUAUUGGGCGUAAAGAGCUCGUAGGCGGUUUGUCGCGUCUGCUGUGAAAACGCGGGGCUCAACUCCGCGCCUGCAGUGGGUACGGGCAGACUAGAGUGCAGUAGGGGAGACUGGAAUUCCUGGUGUAGCGGUGGAAUGCGCAGAUAUCAGGAGGAACACCGGUGGCGAAGGCGGUUCUCUGGGCCUGACCUGACGCUGAGGAGCGAAAGCGUGGGGAGCGAACAGG
Molecule: ribosomal RNA, 253 nt
Filed under: uncultured bacterium
Lineage: Bacteria
Description: partial 16S ribosomal RNA
Rfam family: Bacterial small subunit ribosomal RNA
Source: RNAcentral